Long non-coding RNA from Haliotis rufescens (red abalone), 883 nucleotides. RefSeq lists it as uncharacterized. The transcript has 2 exons. NCBI's taxonomy places the organism in Eukaryota, Metazoa, Mollusca, Gastropoda, Lepetellida, Haliotidae. The record is from RefSeq and is a predicted model, not a curated record.
AUUCAGACACAGGCAGACGGGGAAACAAGUAGCACCAAACAGCCAUUUUGUCUACCAUCACGGGAAUUUUUCCAACCUUUACAAGAGACUCAGCCAAGACACAUUCCUGGAAAUUCAAUUCCUCGCCAGGCGGGUGUACACAUCCAGAUGUCUCGCUCAUCACCUUUCAAACAGGGGAGACAGUAAUGCGACUUGGUCACACCAGCCUCUCAGCCAGAGAAGAAUAUUUAUUGCAGCCCCUACAAGAUUGUAUAUCUGUCAUCUCUCUCAGCACAUUUAAUGGUAGAAGUGAAUAGACUAUGUUAAUCGUGUUUGGCACGGACGAAGAAGCCCACCAUGCAUGACGCAACCAUCUUCCUGAUAUAUCUAGGCGUUUUACCCACCUCGAUAUAUAGCAUGAAAAAUAUAAUGCCUUAUACGGCGUGACACUGAUAAUACCCGUCAAUUGACACCCAUUUAGAGGAGGAAAAUCCUUUUUAUGUUAGACUGUAUGCAGGAAAACUUCAUGAAUAUUGUGCGUAUGAAAUUCCCUGUGAUUUAUCUUUUCACCCUGCUGUUUUAUCCGGGAAUAAUGUUUGUCCCCGUUUAGAUAGAACCUUUCAUGGAUUAAUCUGUUUAUUUUGUGCCGGCUACGUAUGCAUGCAGGGAGAACACUUAAAUGUAUAUGUGUAGUACUGAGUGCGAGGGACGUCGGUGAAUUAACGGUGAAUUUGUUGCGCUUUUAAAGUUUAAAUGGCAAUUUCAUCAGUCAAAAGCUGUCAACAACAUCAGUUAAUUGCUAACAACAAUAUUGUAUCAGUUCAGAACCUUGUAUAAUUGUACUAUAUAUACACCUUGCAUAAUUGUAAAUUUUGUGCACGGAAUUAUAAUAUGACUUUUCAAA